Molecule: long non-coding RNA, 1807 nt
Organism: Egretta garzetta (little egret)
Lineage: Eukaryota; Metazoa; Chordata; Aves; Pelecaniformes; Ardeidae
Exons: 2
Source: RefSeq, a predicted model, not a curated record
CGUGUGAGGGUAAGAGAUUUAUUUCUUCUUUGAUCAUUUCUUGAGAGUUGUUAUUUUUUUUCAACAGUGGAUUUGCUUAUAAGCUGCUAAGGAGAGGUUACCCGGUGGGCAGGCGGGGCGGGCAGGACGGGCCGUGCACGUGCCCUGUUGUCCCGGCGGGCUGGCGGGGAUAAACGCGGCGCUUCGCAAAUACCUGUAAGCCUGGGCGGGGGACUAUUGGCGGCAGACAUGAAGCAAGCGGGGUUACGGCAGGUUAGUGGAAGGGAGCAGGAAAGCAGAUUAAGUUGAAAAUGUAUAUUUUUUUAUAUAUAUAUAUAUAUGCUCAUUAGGUGGCCACAACUUUGUAUCUCAGCAGUUCACCAAGAGAAAAAUGUGAGCAUACGGAGCUAUAUUUCGGUUCUGAUUCUCUUCUUUUAGGGAUGCCAGAGGCUUUAUCUAUAGAAAGUUUUUUUUUGGGGGGGGGUGUUGGUGUUUUUUUCUUUUUUGGUUUGGUUUUUUUCUUCUCCUUCUUCGUCGCCUUUUUAAACUCUCUUCAGGUUUGCUGCAAGUGUUUGCUAAGAGAUUAGUUAGCCAGCUUCCAUGGCGGAGGUAGCCCUGGGAAGCAGCUCGUUGCUGGGAGGAAUGCUCAGUAGGUCAGGGCGUGAAGAUAUAAGGAGCUGCCCAGCUGAGGCUGGGGAUCAGGUAUUUUCCUCUUUGUUUCCUAUCAGAGACAAAGUGCUUAUGGAAAGGUUUGUGGUGAGACAUCAAAUCCCAGCAGGAGCACAGAUGUUCCCACUUUUACAGGCUUACCAAUGAACAUUUCAGCUUAAACAAGUUUAUGAAAUAAAAGAUUUAUUUAUUUUUCCCCGGUAGAUGCAGCAUCUUAGUUUGAUUGUGUAAAGAUUGUAUCGCUCCAGCCACUCCGGGUUAUUCGGUCCAAGGCACGGUGCUUUACUCGAGGGCUCGAGCAGGCCAGCAGAUGAGACCAGGAACCCCCCAAGAUGUCUCCAAACGGCAGCGACCCCCAUGCCCCCGUGGAGGGUAGCAGCAUGGGAGCCCUCCCCAGGUCGGCCUCGUCCCUUCGGUUCGGUGUCCCGGUUUUGGUCUGCGGUGGGUGAUGCUGCAGGUCUGGUGGUGAUGGGCUAGCACAGCGGCUGAUGUGGCUUCUCCCCCCUUGGCAAGUCCUAGCUGAUGGAGACCUCUCCCUCCAUGGAUUGUGUGGGCAACUGGGAGAGCUGCCACCUCUCUUCUGGGGGGGUCCCCUCCCCUGCUGCAGGCAGCACAGGUAACCUCUGGGGUGGGCUUCUCCCCGUGUCCCACCUGUACUGGGGGAUUCAUAGCCUUGAGGUGGGAGACCCCCAGCAGAACCAUCCCGGGCCACUGGCGGAGCACGGUGGUGGUGGCACCAUCUCCCAAAGCCCGGGUGCUGCUAGAGCCACGCGUCUGCUCCCUUCCCGCUCCGGUGCGGCCUCCCUCCCUGGGAAAGCAAGCAGGCUUUGCCUCCAAUGGGCACGGUCUCGGUGCAUCUCCACGGGGAGAUAGAUAUAUAGAUAUAUAUAUAUAUAUAUGUAUAAAACUUGGACGAUCUGUAUCUGCCAGCCAUGAGUCAGAUUAAGGUCUUAUCCCCCUGUAACAUGCAGCUGGAGAUGGCCGGUGCCACGGCACACGUGUGUCAGUAACGAUCCCCGGGGUUGGUGAACUGUGAGUCUUUUUGCCAUCGUUGUUUCUUUCCAUCACUCACCUGCUCCUUCCCGAUAGCGAUCUGAGGGAGUUGGGCAAGUGGCAGACUUGCCAACCCGCAGCUCCCAGGCUUGGCAAAAAGCAAGCC